UCGCCGUACCUGCACCUCAUGCCUCGAAGCGUAACACGGGCUUUUCAUUUUUUUUUUGUUUGCUGUUUUCCGCCCCCAACACUUAAAAACAAAACCGUGGGCUCGGCUUCAGACAAAAUAUUUCCUACAACCGCUGAUACUUGCAAUGCAGUUCCCUUGAAAUGUUCUCUUUCUCUGCCUGCCGCGAGUUGCCUCCAAGGAGUUUCAAUAAGGGAAUAUCCCAGCCAUUGAGCAGCACGGUUUAGCCAAGCACUCCCGGAUAAUUCAGAGGAACAGAGGAGCACAAGCAGCAAAUAAUGUGAACAUUACAGGCAGCCAAGCCGUUCCUCAUUCCACGCCUAAUAUUGAACCCGGGGUUUAAGAUCCAGCCCACGUGCUGACAUUAAGUUUUCGGCACUCGGUCUCAAGUGGUCUCAACGCUACCCUCAGAACUACGUUGGUAAAGUAAUUAGUUUUACCAAAUGAACAAAAACAUGCCAUGAAAGUUUUGCUGCAAGGAUCGGCAAAAUCUCAAGUGCAAAUAAAGCAUCUUUCGCAAGAGAGAAAGAAAUGGCAAACUGCCAACCUGACCAAGAUGAUAACCUUACCUCCUGUCAGCUGAUAAUGCAGCAAAUAUUUCAGGUUGGUGCGGCAACCUGGAAGAAUAGGAGCACAUGACGAGCUGACCGAUGGAAGAGACCUGUUGUGCGCGAUGGUGAAACAGCUGAAGCCAUCGGACACACGGCAGAUAUCUACUUCCAAGACUGCGAUGACGGGUGAUGAGCUGAAGAUCCGAUGACUGUGUCGGAGGCGAUGCCGUCAACAUAAGGGACUGACGAGAUUCACCCUGAAUACCGAUUCCGGGAGUGCCAGAGCGGUUCCGAAGAUCGAACAAAGACUCUGACACUUAAUGACUUUAAUCAUUGUAUACUUGUAUGCAAUGACUACUGCAAUGUGCAAUGUUGUACUUGUGAACCUGUACUUGUGAACAAUAAAGGCCUAGCGCACCACGCCCCCCGCGCCUCUAAGCCAGGGC
Pristis pectinata (smalltooth sawfish) is the source of this 1015-nucleotide long non-coding RNA. RefSeq lists it as uncharacterized. The record is from RefSeq and is a predicted model, not a curated record. Lineage: Eukaryota; Metazoa; Chordata; Chondrichthyes; Rhinopristiformes; Pristidae. The transcript has 3 exons.